AUUGAACGCUGGCGGCAGGCCUAACACAUGCAAGUCGAACGAGUGGCGGACGGGUGAGUAAUGUCUGGGAAACUGCCUGAUGGAGGGGGAUAACUACUGGAAACGGUAGCUAAUACCGCAUACCAUCGGAUGUGCCCAGAUGGGAUUAGCUAGUAGGUGGGGUAAAGGCUCACCUAGGCGACGAUCCCUAGCUGGUCUGAGAGGAUGACCAGCCACACUGGAACUGAUACACGGUCCAGACUCCUACGGGAGGGAGCAGGGAGGAAUAUUGCGCAAUGGGGGCAAACCUGAUGCAGCCAUACCGGGUGUAUGAAGAAGGCCUUCGGGUUGUAAAAUACUUUCAGCGGGAAGGCGUUACCCGCAGAAGAAGCACCGGCUAACUCCGUGCCAGCGGCCGCAGUAAUUC
This 406-nucleotide ribosomal RNA is filed under the name uncultured bacterium. RNAcentral describes it as "partial 16S ribosomal RNA". It matches the Rfam family "Bacterial small subunit ribosomal RNA", at positions 30 to 526 of the family's 1533-position model. The record is from RNAcentral.